UACGUAGGGGGCGAGCGUUGUCCGGAUUUAUUGGGCGUAAAGAGCGUGUAGGCGGCCAGGUAGGUCUGCUGUGAAAACUCGAGGCUCAACCUCGAGACGUCGGCGGAAACCAUCUGGCUAGAGUCCGGAAGAGGAGAGUGGAAUUCCUGGUGUAGCGGUGAAAUGCGCAGAUAUCAGGAGGAACACCUAUUGCGAAGGCAGCUCGCUGGGACGUAACUGACGCUGAGACGCGAAAGCGUGGGGAGCAAACAGG
RNAcentral lists this ribosomal RNA (253 nucleotides) under uncultured bacterium. RNAcentral describes it as "partial 16S ribosomal RNA". It matches the Rfam family "Bacterial small subunit ribosomal RNA", at positions 524 to 776 of the family's 1533-position model. The record is from RNAcentral.